RNAcentral lists this long non-coding RNA (589 nucleotides) under Homo sapiens (human). Its description in RNAcentral is "non-protein coding lnc-CTAGE6-2:5". Lineage: Eukaryota; Metazoa; Chordata; Mammalia; Primates; Hominidae. The record is from RNAcentral.
GUCAGUCCCUAGGUAUCCGCACUGCUCAGGGAAGUGAAAGACGUCGCUUGUCUUCUGGGAGGUAGCUAGCACGAUCUUGAGCUCAGGCUUCCGGAUCUCUCUCGGCUGCUUUUUUCCACUGGUAACUUCUGAGGCUGAGAUCAGGAGGAUUCCCUGGGAGCACCCACCAGCUGAGAUCUGCACAUCAGCCACAAUCCUCUCAGGACGGCGGAAAGGGAAGGGCUCAGCCGCCAGCCUGGCCACAGCCUGCAUCAUCUCAUCCCAGAGGCGGAGCACAGGCUCGGGGUCCUUCAGGGCCUGAAGGUUUGUGGUUGGCACUGUCAGGAUGAUGUUGUCCGUGGCCAGCUCUCCCCAGGGAGCCAGGUUCUCCUGCAUCUGCCUCUUCCACUCCUCCAGCGAUGUCUUACCUGGGAAUAAAUAUCAUGGAACCUACCACACCCACUUCUCCAACUUCCCUUGAGCUGAAAAAUACCAUUUGAACUCUGGAAGAACAUUGCAAUAAUGAACUACUAUCACAGGCGUCUAUAGGCUGUAAAGUGAAGAAAAGGCUUCCUGACUCUUCUCUUUGUCUGCCCUGAAGUCUCCAUGG